CUUGGAAACAGGUGCUAAUACCGGAAUAAGAAAGCAGAUCGCAUGAUCUAGCUUUUAAAAAGGCGGCGUAAGCUGUCGCUAUGGGAUCGGCCCGCGGUGCAUUAGCUAGUUGGUAAGGUAAAGGCUUACCAAGGCGAUGAUGCAUAGCCCGAGUUGAGAGACUGAUCGGGCCACAUUGGGGACUGAGACACGGGGCCCAAACUCCUACGGGGGGAGGGGGCAGCAGUAGGGGGAAUCUUCCACAAUGGACGCAAGUCUGAUGGAGCAACGCCGCGUGAGUGAAGAAGGUUUUCGGAUCGUAAAGCUCUGUUGUUGGUGAAGAAGGAUAGGAGGUAGUAACUGGUCCUUUAUUUGACGGUAAUACAACCAGAAAGUCACGGCUAACUACGUGCCAGCAGCCGCGGUAAU
RNAcentral lists this ribosomal RNA (408 nucleotides) under uncultured Lactobacillus sp. RNAcentral describes it as "bacterial SSU rRNA". It matches the Rfam family "Bacterial small subunit ribosomal RNA", at positions 149 to 524 of the family's 1533-position model. Lineage: Bacteria; Bacillati; Bacillota; Bacilli; Lactobacillales; Lactobacillaceae. The record is from RNAcentral.